Molecule: ribosomal RNA, 559 nt
Filed under: uncultured Aquincola sp.
Lineage: Bacteria; Pseudomonadati; Pseudomonadota; Betaproteobacteria; Burkholderiales; Sphaerotilaceae
Description: bacterial SSU rRNA
Rfam family: Bacterial small subunit ribosomal RNA
Source: RNAcentral
CAGUGGGGAAUUUUGGACAAUGGGGCGCAAGCCUGAUCCAGCCAUGCCGCGUGCGGGAAGAAGGCCUUCGGGUUGUAAACCGCUUUUGUCGGGGAAGAAAAGCCUUGGGUUAAUACCCUGGGGUGAUGACGGUACCCGAAGAAUAAGCACCGGCUAACUACGUGCCAGCAGCCGCGGUAAUACGUAGGGUGCAAGCGUUAAUCGGAAUUACUGGGCGUAAAGCGUGCGCAGGCGGUUGUGUAAGACAGAUGUGAAAUCCCCGGGCUCAACCUGGGAACUGCAUUUGUGACUGCACAGCUGGAGUGCGGCAGAGGGGGAUGGAAUUCCGCGUGUAGCAGUGAAAUGCGUAGAUAUGCGGAGGAACACCGAUGGCGAAGGCAAUCCCCUGGGCCUGCACUGACGCUCAUGCACGAAAGCGUGGGGAGCAAACAGGAUUAGAUACCCUGGUAGUCCACGCCCUAAACGAUGUCAACUGGUUGUUGGGAGGGUUUCUUCUCAGUAACGAAGCUAACGCGUGAAGUUGACCGCCUGGGGAGUACGGCCGCCAAGGUUGAAACUC